AUGUACUCGAUGAUGAGGAGAGUAAUGAUGGUUCGUGCUACUAGCGAGUCAGGAUUGGUGGAAGCCUGAUAGAACGUCCAUGAUGAAGCGCACCUCGGAGACGCAGCUUGAAUCUUGUCUAUUGACAAUGUAUAGAGCUUGCCGGGUUUGCCCGUUACAGCUAUCAAGCAGGUUUUUUCCAAUUACGAUCAUUUAUUGGUCUAAUUGAAAAGAACAAGAAGAGUGGUACCGCGGGAGUAUGAUAAAAUAACCUCUCGUCUCUUUA
Molecule: non-coding RNA, 265 nt
Filed under: Brevibacillus laterosporus
Lineage: Bacteria; Bacillati; Bacillota; Bacilli; Caryophanales; Paenibacillaceae
Description: T-box sequence
Rfam family: T-box leader
About the family: Uncharged tRNA acts as the effector for transcription antitermination of genes in the T-box leader family. T-boxes are found upstream of many aminoacyl-tRNA synthetase genes and some amino acid biosynthetic genes usually in Gram-positive bacteria.
Source: RNAcentral